CAGGCUUAACACAUGCAAGUCGAGGGGCAGCGGGGUAGUGCUUGCACUACUGCCGGCGACCGGCGCACGGGUGAGUAACACGUAUGGAACCUGCCCGCAGCAGGGGGAUAAGCGGAAGAAAUUCCGUCUAAUACCGCGUAAGAACGUUGGGAGGCAUCUCCCGAUGUUUAAAGAUUUAUCGGCUGCGGAUGGCCAUGCGGCGCAUUAGCUAGUCGGCGGGGUAACGGCCCACCGAGGCGACGAUGCGUAGGGGUUCUGAGAGGAAGGUCCCCCACACUGGUACUGAGACACGGACCAGACUCCUACGGGAGGCAGCAGUGAGGAAUAUUGGUCAAUGGCCGAGAGGCUGAACCAGCCAAGUCGCGUGAGGGAAGACGGCCCUACGGGUUGUAAACCUCUUUUGUCGGGGAGCAAAGCGAACCACGUGUGGUUCAUUGAGAGUACCCGAAGAAAAAGCAUCGGCUAACUCCGUGCCAGCAGCCGCGGUAAUACGGAGGAUGCGAGCGUUAUCCGGAUUUAUUGGGUUUAAAGGGUGCGCAGGCGGAGGUGCAAGUCAGCGGUCAAAUUGCGGGGCUCAACCCCGUACUGCCGUUGAAACUGCAUCCCUUGAGUGCGCGAGAAGUAUGCGGAAUGCGUGGUGUAGCGGUGAAAUGCAUAGAUAUCACGCAGAACUCCGAUUGCGAAGGCAGCAUACCGGCGCGCAACUGACGCUCAUGCACGAAAGCGUGGGUAUCGAACAGGAUUAGAUACCCUGGUAGUCCACGCAGUAAACGAUGAACACUAACUGUUCGGCCAGAAUGAUGGCUGAGUGGUACAGCGAAAGCGUUAAGUGUUCCACCUGGGGAGUACGCCGGCAACGGUGAAACUCAAAGGAAUUGACGGGGGCCCGCACAAGCGGAGGAACAUGUGGUUUAAUUCGAUGAUACGCGAGGAACCUUACCCGGGCUCAAACGACACAGGAAUACUUUUGAAAGGAGGUAGCCCUACGGGGUCUGUGUCGAGGUGCUGCAUGGUUGUCGUCAGCUCGUGCCGUGAGGUGUCGGCUUAAGUGCCAUAACGAGCGCAACCCCUAUCGCCAGUUACCAUCAAGUAAAGUUGGGGACUCUGGCGAGACUGCCGGCGCAAGCUGAGAGGAAGGCGGGGAUGACGUCAAAUCAGCACGGCCCUUACGUCCGGGGCGACACACGUGUUACAAUGGCAGGUACAGAGAGAAGCCAGGUGGUGACACCGAGCGGAACUCGAAAGCCUGUCUCAGUUCGGAUCGGAGUCUGCAACCCGACUCCGUGAAGCUGGAUUCGCUAGUAAUCGCGCAUCAGCCAUGGCGCGGUGAAUACGUUCCCGGGCCU
RNAcentral lists this ribosomal RNA (1346 nucleotides) under uncultured bacterium. RNAcentral's name for it is "bacterial SSU rRNA". It matches the Rfam family "Bacterial small subunit ribosomal RNA", at positions 43 to 1381 of the family's 1533-position model. The record is from RNAcentral.